Molecule: microRNA precursor, 115 nt
Filed under: Notamacropus eugenii (tammar wallaby)
Lineage: Eukaryota; Metazoa; Chordata; Mammalia; Diprotodontia; Macropodidae
Description: miRNA (ENSMEUG00000017692.1)
Source: RNAcentral
UCCUCUCAAAUAAUUUCCAAUUUAUCAUAUAUGUAUAUACAUAUGUAUGUAUGUAUGUGUGUGUAUAUAUGUGUAUAAACACACACAUACAUACUAUGUAUAAACAAGAUCGAUA